GCAGCACGGGGGCAACCCUGGUGGCGAGUGGCGAACGGGUGAGUAACAUAUCGGAACGUGCCCUGGAGUGGGGGAUAACUAGUCGAAAGAUUAGCUAAUACCGCAUACGAUCUACGGAUGAAAGUGGGGGAUCGCAAGACCUCAUGCUCGUGGAGCGGCCGAUAUCUGAUUAGCUAGUUGGUGGGGUAAAGGCCUACCAAGGCAUCGAUCAGUAGCUGGUCUGAGAGGACGACCAGCCACACUGGGACUGAGACACGGCCCAGACUCCUACGGGAGGCAGCAGUGGGGAAUUUUGGACAAUGGGCGCAAGCCUGAUCCAGCAAUGCCGCGUGAGUGAAGAAGGCCUUCGGGUUGUAAAGCUCUUUUGUCAGGGAAGAAACGGUUCGGGUUAAUACCUUGGGCUAAUGACGGUACCUGAAGAAUAAGCACCGGCUAACUACGUGCCAGCAGCCGCGGUAAUACGUAGGGUGCAAGCGUUAAUCGGAAUUACUGGGCGUAAAGCGUGCGCAGGCGGUUGUGCAAGACAGAUGUGAAAUCCCCGGGCUCAACCUGGGAAUUGCAUUUGUGACUGUACGGCUAGAGUGUGUCAGAGGGGGGUAGAAUUCCACGUGUAGCAGUGAAAUGCGUAGAGAUGUGGAGGAAUACCGAUGGCGAAGGCAGCCCCCUGGGAUAACACUGACGCUCAUGCACGAAAGCGUGGGGAGCAAACAGGAUUAGAUACCCUGNNAGUCCACGCCCUAAACGAUGUCUACUAGUUGUCGGGUCUUUAUUGACUUGGNAACGCAGCUAACGCGUGAAGUAGACCGCCUGGGGAGUACGGUCGCAAGAUUAAAACUCAAAGGAAUUGACGGGGACCCGCACAAGCGGUGGAUGAUGUGGAUUANUCGAUGCACGCGAAAANCUUACCUACCC
This 912-nucleotide ribosomal RNA is filed under the name uncultured bacterium. RNAcentral's name for it is "bacterial SSU rRNA". It matches the Rfam family "Bacterial small subunit ribosomal RNA", at positions 69 to 980 of the family's 1533-position model. The record is from RNAcentral.